AGGAAAGCUUCAACAAUCUCUCCGUGGACACAAUGACGCCUCUACGUUUCGCUGUUGUCUUCGUCCUCCUCUUUGGUGUAUUUGUCGCGAGUGAAGCUGCACCGGAAGGGCACGAGCUUGAACGUCGUGACGGUGACCCUAACAUCUGCGUUUGUCUCGAGGGUAUUACGUGCCCUAACGGCCAUUGCACCUCGCUGAGCAAGUGCAAGAAAUGCUCCGUGAUCGUGGGAUAAACAUCGCUGACCGACAGCCCCGAAAGGAUCAAUUCGCACGUAUUAAGUAACGGA
Molecule: long non-coding RNA, 287 nt
Organism: Ornithodoros turicata
Lineage: Eukaryota; Metazoa; Arthropoda; Arachnida; Ixodida; Argasidae
Exons: 3
Source: RefSeq, a predicted model, not a curated record